UAUUAAAAAUUUCAUUCAUUUCUACUGUUAAAAUUUGACAUUAUUAAUAGAAUAACCAAACAAUUACACAUGAUAUGCCACGCGUACCUCAUUUGAUAUACAAGAACCAACUUUCAACAGUAAAAACAGAUGUAAUUUUUAAUA
Molecule: non-coding RNA, 144 nt
Organism: Gossypium hirsutum (cotton)
Lineage: Eukaryota; Viridiplantae; Streptophyta; Magnoliopsida; Malvales; Malvaceae
Source: Rfam